GAUGUUCACAUGAAGAAUAAUUGCUUGCGUCCUAACCUGUCUUCCUGACCCAUCCGGUCGGAGGAGCCCCACGCAGGGCCCCGGUUGCGCCGGGACAGGCGGGCGGGCGGGGCCGGCGUCCGCGCAACGAUGCUGGGUCCCGGCAGGGGGCGCGCUGAUGCCGCGUGCCGCCCUCACUCCUGGCCCUGGGCUCUUGGAGAGCGCCGGGAUCUGCAGCUUGGAGGGCCGGAGACCCUGGCGCUGGGUUCUCAGAACUGCCUUUUGCACAGCACCCUGAAACCCGGCGUAGCCCAACUUCUACCUUCCUGGAACAGCCCUCUAAAAAGGAGUCUCCAGUGCCAUCCCACCUUCAGCCUGAUUCCUAAAACCUUGCCCUUGUCCUAAUCCCUCUAACAUUCCUCUUCCCCACUUCUUGCUUCAAACUCACUUAACCUUUGCCUGACCUCUCUGGGCCAAGGAUGGAAGAGGCAACGCUAGUUAGCCAAAGGACGGGGGGGCGGCGGGGGAGACCGGCGCACAAAGGCUGGGACGGCCCCGGCGGGAGUUCACGGGCGGGCGGGGCUCUGGAGGCGCGGCCCUGCUGGUUCCCGGAGCCUGGGCGGGCAGAGCGAGGAAAGCGUCUUCCCGGCCCGGGCUCUCUCAGCUGACGCUCCAAUCCUGUCUCAUCGGCCUGGUCGCUGCCCCGCCUCAACCCCGGCUCCCCCAGUGUCCGCCAUGGCCAAAGCCUACGACCACCUCUUCAAGUUACUGCUGAUCGGUGACUCCGGGGUGGGCAAGACUUGUCUGAUCAUUCGCUUUGCAGAGGACAACUUCAACAAUACGUACAUCUCCACCAUCGGAAUUGAUUUCAAGAUCCGCACUGUGAAUAUAGAGGGGAAGAAGAUCAAACUGCAAGUCUGGGACACAGCUGGGCAAGAGCGAUUCAAGACGAUAACUACUGCCUAUUACCGAGGAGCCAUGGGCAUUAUCCUAGUGUAUGACAUCACAGAUGAGAAGUCUUUUGAGAAUAUUCAGAACUGGAUGAAAAGCAUCAAAGAGCAUGCUUCAGCUGGGGUGGAGCGCCUCUUGCUGGGAAACAAGUGUGACAUGGAGGCCAAGAGGAGGGUGCAGAAAGAGCAGGCUGAUAAGUUGGCUCAAAAGCACGGAAUCCGAUUUUUUGAGACAAGUGCUAAAUCCAGUAUGAAUGUGGCUGAGGCUUUUAGUUCCCUGGCCCGGGACAUCUUGCUGAAGUCAGGAAGCCAGAGAGUAGUCUGUAACGGACAAAUGGGUGACAGCCCAGGGAGCAGCGAACCGAGAAUCUAGCAAUCCUCGGCGGCCGCAGUUUCCUGGAUUCUCUCGAAGAGUACCAGGACCACAAUGCAAUGAGGCGCCAGGCCAAUUCUCAGAGAGCAGCGGGCGAGGCGCCGCGGAGCGCCAAGACUACAAGCCCCAGCGGACGCCGACGGGCCGCUUCGGGCCUGCGCCCCAGGAUCCUCCGCGGCAAGAUGGCCGCGUCGGGGGCGGAGACUGAGGUGGGAAAGUGGUAGGCCAGUGGGUCCUCGCCGGCCUUUCUUCCUGUACCUGCGGGUUCCGCGGAAGUAAUGCGCGUCGGUAGCGAACAAAUGCACAUAGCCUUUUCUCGCUCUGGACAAGAGGACGUUCAGAUAGAGCCUGUGCCCUAGAGGCAACCCCGGCGAGCGCGACCCGGGAACCUCCGGAAGGGCUGGACAGUAAGGGCGGCCUCUGAGCUCUGACAGGCGCGAGGCCACACGAGCAGGUCCCCUCUAUUCGGACGGAUUGGGGAGACCUUGUCCACGGACAGCAGAGGUGUCCUGCUUUCUAGAAUCUGACUUUUGCCUCUUUCUCCCACCCGCUGCAGCCAAGUAGAGGCUUCAGAGCCAGAGGAGAAACUGUCAGUAAGCACUUCGAAUUUGCCGUGCUGGCUGGUGGAAGAGUUUGUGGUGGCAGAAGAGUGUGCUCCAUGUUCUAAUUUCCGGACU
Nycticebus coucang (slow loris) is the source of this 1979-nucleotide RNA transcript. It is a transcript of the gene named RAB13, member RAS oncogene family, with no coding region annotated. The transcript has 10 exons. The record is from RefSeq and is a predicted model, not a curated record. NCBI's taxonomy places the organism in Eukaryota, Metazoa, Chordata, Mammalia, Primates, Lorisidae.